CAGUCGCCGCGGGAAUACGUAGGUGGCAAGCGUUGUCCGGAAUUAUUGGGCGUAAAGCGCGCGCAGGUGGUUUAAUAAGUCUGAUGUGAAAGCCCACGGCUCAACCGUGGAGGGUCAUUGGAAACUGUUAAACUUGAGUGCAGGAGAGAAAAGUGGAAUUCCUAGUGUAGCGGUGAAAUGCGUAGAGAUUAGGAGGAACACCAGUGGCGAAGGCGGCUUUUUGGCCUGUAACUGACACUGAGGCGCGAAAGCGUGGGGAGCAAGCAGGAUUAGAGACCCCCGUAGUCCCUGUCUCUUAUAC
RNAcentral lists this ribosomal RNA (301 nucleotides) under uncultured bacterium. Its description in RNAcentral is "partial 16S ribosomal RNA". It matches the Rfam family "Bacterial small subunit ribosomal RNA", at positions 509 to 807 of the family's 1533-position model. The record is from RNAcentral.